Molecule: long non-coding RNA, 1080 nt
Filed under: Chlamydomonas reinhardtii
Lineage: Eukaryota; Viridiplantae; Chlorophyta; Chlorophyceae; Chlamydomonadales; Chlamydomonadaceae
Description: long non-coding RNA (CREI_LNC000847)
Source: RNAcentral
AACGCGAAACCCACAAAAUAAACCCACCUGGAACGCAGCCAGGCAUCCGCGGUGAGCCAGGAGGACAUGCGAGGACAGGAGGAAAGAGAACGGCAGAAAGAAGGGUGCGGCAAGGCGGUUGUCAAGUUGAGGACGGCCGCGGAAAACAAACCAGGGUGGCUGCCUAGCUGCGGCCGGGCUGACACGAAGGCUGUCUGGCUGCUGUAAAUGGGUAAGAUGGUACUGGAAGUAUGCACUGGCGCCGGUCAGGCAUGGUGAGUAGUGGCGCCGCUGCAUGGGUCUUGUCAUGGUACUUGUCCACCAGCAGACGCAGCAGCGCCCGGUUUGGGCCCCUGCCUGACCUGAAUUGCGAAGUAAGUGAGUGAGUGGGUGAAGGUGAGUGGGUGAGUGAAGGUGGGUGAGUGAGUGCGUUGCUGAGCGAGUGGCCGGGUGAGUGAGUGGCUGAGUGAGCCAAGGACCAGAGCCCCCGCCUGACCCAGGCGGUACCGAAGGGGCGUGGCCACAAAAUCCACCUUGAACCUAAUUGCUGCGAGCGUUGCCUCGUCCUUGCAAACGCUUCGCAGCGACACCUUACGGGUGCUAGUUUUCUGAACCAUUAUGAAGCGUUAGGGGUGUGGGAGCCGGCCCACACCCCUAACACGGGCAAGGUUGGGCGGACUUCAGAAUUGUUUGGCCUGUGCUACGGCUACAAGGGUGCGAAAGGCGAAAGUUUGAAGUUGGCAACUCUUCCUUUGUGGAAUCCGCGUGACAGGGCUGCUUUCCUUGCGACCUCGCGACCUCGCGAAAGUCAAGAUGUCCAUGGACUCGCGAGGUCGCUUCUCGCUCGCCGAGUUUCAACGUGCUUGAAAAAAGCAACAAGCACUGUCCGCUGAUACUCAAGAUUGGCAUUACAUGGGAUGCAGAUUACAAGUGAAGCGACAGCCGGCGCGACAGGCCAGAGGUCUGCCGACAUCCCUAUCAAACGCAAGCACCACUCAUUUUCUCUCGUCCGCAGACGGUGGCUGGCGUCAGAGACGCGCAAUGCCUUGGCCCGAAGGCCCACGUCUGGAAACGUCUGUGCCGAGGCACCACAAGGGAAAC